UCUCUUUGGUCUUCAUUUUGAGGAAGUAAAAGUCSAUUCMAGGYUUCCGUAGGUGAACCUGCGGAAGGAUCAUUAUCGAGUUUUGACUGGGUUGUAGCUGGCCUUCCGAGGCAUGUGCACGCCCUGCUCAUCCACUCUACACCUGUGCACUUACUGUGGGCUUCAGAUCGUAAAACGGGUCCCUUUACCGGGCUUGCGGAGCGUGUCUGUGCCUGCGUUUAUCACAAACUCUAUAAAGUAUCAGAAUGUGUAUUGCGAUGUAACGCAUCUAUAUACAACUUUCAGCAACGGAUCUCUUGGCUCUCGCAUCGAUGAAGAACGCAGCGAAAUGCGAUAAGUAAUGUGAAUUGCAGAAUUCAGUGAAUCAUCGAAUCUUUGAACGCACCUUGCGCUCCUUGGUAUUCCGAGGAGCAUGCCUGUUUGAGUGUCAUGAAAUCUUCAACCUGCAAGCUUUUGUGGUUUGUAGGCUUGGACUUGGAGGCUUGUCGGCCGUUCUUGGUCGGCUCCUCUUAAAUGCAUUAGCUUGGUUCCUUGCGGAUCGGCUCUCAGUGUGAUAAUGUCUACGCUGCGACCGUGAAGCGUUUGGCGAGCUUCUAACCGUCUCAGUUGGAGACAACUUUAUGACCUCUGACCUCAAAUCAGGUAGGACUACCCGCUGAACUUAAGCAUAUCAAUAAGCGGAGGAAAAGAAACUAACAAGGAUUCCCCUAGUAACUGCGAGUGAAGCGGGAAAAGCUCAAAUUUAAAAUCUGGCGGUCUUUGGCCGUCACGAGUUGUAGUMYGGAKAAGUGCUYUCCGSGCUGGACCGUGUCAAAAUUUCUCCCUGGAUGGA
This 832-nucleotide ribosomal RNA is filed under the name Ganoderma multipileum. Its description in RNAcentral is "eukaryotic LSU rRNA". The record is from RNAcentral. Lineage: Eukaryota; Fungi; Basidiomycota; Agaricomycetes; Polyporales; Polyporaceae.